This 732-nucleotide ribosomal RNA is filed under the name uncultured bacterium. Its description in RNAcentral is "bacterial SSU rRNA". It matches the Rfam family "Bacterial small subunit ribosomal RNA", at positions 136 to 882 of the family's 1533-position model. The record is from RNAcentral.
GAGGGGGAUAACAUUCUGAAAAGAAUGCUAAUACCGCAUGACAUAUCGGAACCACAUGGUUUUGAUAUCAAAGAUUUUAUCGCUUGAAGAUGGACUCGCGUCCGAUUAGUUAGUUGGUGAGGUAACGGCUCACCAAGACCGCGAUCGGUAGCCGGACUGAGAGGUUGAACGGCCACAUUGGGACUGAGACACGGCCCAGACUCCUACGGGAGGCAGCAGUGGGGGAUAUUGCGCAAUGGGGGCAACCCUGACGCAGCAACGCCGCGUGAAGGAUGAAGGUUUUCGGAUUGUAAACUUCUUUUAUUAAGGACGAAAAAUGACGGUACUUAAUGAAUAAGCUCCGGCUAACUACGUGCCAGCAGCCGCGGUAAUACGUAGGGAGCAAGCGUUGUCCGGAUUUACUGGGUGUAAAGGGUGCGUAGGCGGCUUUGCAAGUCAGAUGUGAAAUCUAUGGGCUCAACCCAUAAACUGCAUUUGAAACUGUAGAGCUUGAGUGAAGUAGAGGCAGGCGGAAUUCCCCGUGUAGCGGUGAAAUGCGUAGAGAUGGGGAGGAACACCAGUGGCGAAGGCGGCCUGCUGGGCUUUAACUGACGCUGAGGCACGAAAGCGUGGGUAGCAAACAGGAUUAGAUACCCUGGUAGUCCACGCUGUAAACGAUGAUUACUAAGUGUGUGGGGGGUCUGACCCCUUCCGUGCCGGAGUUAACACAAUAAGUAAUCCACCUGGGGAGUA